RNAcentral lists this long non-coding RNA (2631 nucleotides) under Homo sapiens (human). Its description in RNAcentral is "PREDICTED lncRNA (TCONS_00221614)". The record is from RNAcentral. Lineage: Eukaryota; Metazoa; Chordata; Mammalia; Primates; Hominidae.
AGCUUGAGAAUCCUGGCAUAGCCAGGCCAUGUGGAGUAGCGGGCACGCUGUGAGGGACAAGAGAUUACAGCGAGCUCAGAAGCAGAGCAAGGAAAACAUGAAGAACGGGGAAAGUAGCUGCCGCAUGCCAAUGUGAAACUCCGAGGAGUCUAGCCAUUCUGAUCUGGCCUUCCAGGUCAUUAGGAGGCUCUGCCAUCGUGUGAGGAGGGAAAGCCUGCUGUCUGGAGAGCACACUGGUCUCCAGCGUGGGGAGAGAGAGCACUUUCGGGCUUUGCUGAGGAGGGUCUUCAGAAAAAAGAUGUGCAGCUCGGACAUGGAGGGCAGAAGGUGCUCAGGAAGGAUCUUCUGCAUGCAGGAGCCUCCUCUCUCGAAGGGUGUUCUCCAAUCAUGAGCUUAUUUGCUGUUUACAUGCCCGAGGAGGACUGACCUUAGCAGCUAUGAUGACCUCAUUUAUCACUGUGGAUAAGCACUUGGCCAGGGUCUCAGCCAGCACCCCAGGCCCAGCCUCCUGGUUUACUCAUUUCUGGGGGUGGUGGCAUCUGCCCACUGUCCUGAACUUUCCUCUGCUUGGGUAGGGACAGGGAGCCCCAGCAGCACUUGUUCCAGGAUGACCCAGCAAAUUGCAAGGUGGCAUUUGGCCUUUUCCUCAGCAAUUGCCAGACUUUGUCCCAGGGUGAGGAGGAAGCCAAUGGAAGAGCUGGGGUGAGGAGAUCAAAGACCUUUCCAGAGAUUCAGGCAGGGGCCCAAACCAAGGGCAUUUCCAGGCGGGCACUGGGACCAGCCCCAGGGACACGCCAACGCACUGCUGGGGCCAAGGGGAAAGGUUGGUUUCAAAACCACAUGUGCGGCAGCCUCACCACUGAGUCAUGCUUGUGAGGCCUGCUGGAGACCAAAGACAGGGGCUACAAGCUCAAAACCGCCUGGUUAGUGCUGACUCUAUUGAUUUCCUGGCCUUCCACUUCCAAACCUUCCUUGGAUGGCUAAACUCCUUCUGGAAGACACACCUGUUUUUUAUAUUUGCCUGGUAUACCUCACUUCUUUGAGUGACAGCACCCCAGAGAUCCCCUUCUCCACUCUCACUCUUUGUAGUUAAGGUGAGGUUGGAUUCUCUCCUCUCUGCACCCCUCAACCCCCCUACCCCCAGCACUAAGGACCCAGGCUCAGCCAAUCAGAAUAUCUCUCAUGCCCAUCAUGGGCUCUAGGAUGGGAGCAUGAUGGAAGAGUGGCCAUUGAGGAUCAGUUCCAAGACUUUUGUGAGAAAUGCGGGGGAAGAGACCCUCUCUUUUCCUAUAGGGAUUGCUCACUGUGCAAAUAUGCCAGCCUGGAACAGCUGGGGCCUCCAUGUGCACAGUGGAGAAUCAGAGAAUCAGGUCACCCCACAGGAAAGCAGGACCAUAAUGGGGUACUAGGCAGAGACCUAGCCUCCUGGCCAUGCACCUCUGAGCUGUGUGGACUGAUUCUUUUUUGCUUAAGCAUGCUUUUGUUUUCAUUUCAUUUAUUUAUUUAUUUUCAGACACAGUCUUGCUCUGUUGUCCAGGCUGGACUGCAGUGGUGUGAUUUCAAUCUCAGCUCACUGCAACCUCUGCCUCCCCGGUUCAAGUGAGUCUUCUGCCUCAGCCUCCUGAGUAGCUGAAACUACAGGCAUGUGCCACCACGCCAGGCUAAUUUUUGUAUUUUUAGUAGAGAUAGGGUUUCACCAUAUUGGCCAGGCUGGUCUUGAACUCCUGACCUUGUGAUCCACCCGCCUCAGCCUCCCAAAGUGCUGGGAUUACAGGUGUGAGCCACCGCGCCCGGUGAAGCAUGCUUUCAAGUGGGGUUUCUGUCAAUUGCAAACAGAAGAUUUCUGACUAAUAUUCCCUGGAUAAUAUUUAUUCUACCUUCCUCUCCAUUCUUACUCUCUGCCAUAGCUUAAGCCUCAUCAUCCACUUCCACAUCUCCUACCUUAGAUGAUUUUAGCAGACUACCAACUCAGAAUUACAAUGGAAUCACUGCAGUAGAUGACUAACUGCUAUUUGCAUGCAUGUUUUAUUUGUGAAUGUGACCUUACAAAUCGAUUUUCAUGUCUCACUGAUGAAGGCACCAAGCGUCAGGGAGACAAGGGACUUGUGUGCAGCCAGUACUGCCAACAAGAAGGCCCAAUCAAGAUCCUCCCACAACAAGAGCAGAUUGUGAGCGUGGCAAGCUCUAUGCUGAGCACUGGAAGGACAAAGAGAGAUUGGGCACAGACUUCUCACUGAUCCAGGUGAUGAAGAGCUCACAUCUGAGAGGAUGUGACCAUGGAUGACCCACCAGAAUGUCAUGGGAUCCAGCUACAGCCAAGGAAGCACAGAGCACCGUGGGAGCGAUUUAUUGUGCUUGGGGAUGGGGAAGGGGACAUGGGAGGAGCCAUAUUGAGAAAGUAGCAUGGGUACUUGGCUUCACAGAGUGUGGCAGCUUUCAUCAGGAAGUGAUGGUGGGGGAACAGCGUCUCUGGCGGAGGGAAGCAGCAGGUGCAGAGGUGCAGAGGUGUGAGGAGUCUGUCACAUUCUGGGAAGGGAGUAUGGUUGGGUGACAAUGCAAGACAGAGAAAGCAAGGAGGGAAGGAGGGGCCUAGCCUGAGGAAUAAAGAAUAAUAAAAGCAGGAAAACAAUU